Molecule: small nucleolar RNA, 132 nt
Organism: Acomys russatus (golden spiny mouse)
Lineage: Eukaryota; Metazoa; Chordata; Mammalia; Rodentia; Muridae
Product: small nucleolar RNA SNORA17
Exons: 1
Source: RefSeq, a predicted model, not a curated record
CCUACCGCUAGAGGCAUUGCAGGUGUGGCUGCUGUGUCACAGGUACCUCAGAAGGUGGCAGAGAGAAGAGAGGCUUUGUCUAAGUUCAGUGUUCUGACCUAUGAACAUCUAAAUGAUUAGUAGCCUAACAUU